GAUGAACGCUGGCGGCGUGCCUAAUACAUGCAAGUCGAGCGAACAGACGAGGAGCUUGCUCCUCUGACGUUAGCGGCGGACGGGUGAGUAACACGUGGAUAACCUACCUAUAAGACUGGGAUAACUUCGGGAAACCGGAGCUAAUACCGGAUAAUAUAUUGAACCGCAUGGUUCAAUAGUGAAAGACGGUUUUGCUGUCACUUAUAGAUGGAUCCGCGCCGCAUUAGCUAGUUGGUAAGGUAACGGCUUACCAAGGCAACGAUGCGUAGCCGACCUGAGAGGGUGAUCCGCCACCCUGGAACUGAGACACGGUCCAGACUCCUACGGGAGGCCGCAGUAGGGAAUCUUCCGGAAUGGGGCAAAGGUUGACGGAGCAACGCCGCGGGAGUGAUGAAGGUCUUCGGAUCGUAAAACUCUGUUAUUAGGGAAGAACAAAUGUGUAAGUAACUAUGCACGUCUUGACGGUACCUAAUCAGAAAGCCACGGCUAACUACGUG
This 497-nucleotide ribosomal RNA is filed under the name uncultured bacterium. Its description in RNAcentral is "partial 16S ribosomal RNA". It matches the Rfam family "Bacterial small subunit ribosomal RNA", at positions 28 to 507 of the family's 1533-position model. The record is from RNAcentral.